Molecule: unclassified non-coding RNA, 253 nt
Filed under: uncultured Actinomycetes bacterium
Lineage: Bacteria; Bacillati; Actinomycetota; Actinomycetes
Description: uncultured actinobacterium contains 16S-23S intergenic spacer region
Rfam family: Bacterial small subunit ribosomal RNA
Source: RNAcentral
GACGUAGGGGGCGAGCGUUGUCCGGAAUCACUGGGCGUAAAGCGCGCGCAGGUGGCCCGGUAAGUCGGUAGUGAAAACUCGGGGCUCAACCCCGUGCCUGCUCUGGAAACUGCCGGGCUCGAGGUAGGUAGGGGAGAUCGGAAUUCCUGGUGUAGCGGUGAAAUGCGCAGAUAUCAGGAGGAACACCGGUGGCGAAGGCGGGUCUCUGGGCCUUACCUGACGCUCAGGCGCGAAAGCGUGGGGAGCAAACAGG